ACGACUCUCGACAACGGAUAUCUCGGCUCUCGCAUCGAUGAAGAACGUAGCGAAAUGCGAUACUUGGUGUGAAUUGCAGAAUCCCGUGAACCAUCGAGUCUUUGAACGCAAGUUGCGCCCAAAACCAUUAUGUUGAGGGCACGUCUGCCUGGGUGUCACGU
Molecule: ribosomal RNA, 161 nt
Filed under: Grammosciadium macrodon
Lineage: Eukaryota; Viridiplantae; Streptophyta; Magnoliopsida; Apiales; Apiaceae
Description: 5.8S ribosomal RNA
Rfam family: 5.8S ribosomal RNA
About the family: 5.8S ribosomal RNA (5.8S rRNA) is a component of the large subunit of the eukaryotic ribosome.
Source: RNAcentral